This 96-nucleotide transfer RNA is filed under the name Puccinia triticina 1-1 BBBD Race 1. RNAcentral describes it as "Puccinia triticina tRNA PTTG_20169". It matches the Rfam family "tRNA". From Rfam's summary of the family: Transfer RNA (tRNA) molecules are approximately 80 nucleotides in length. Their secondary structure includes four short double-helical elements and three loops (D, anti-codon, and T loops). Lineage: Eukaryota; Fungi; Basidiomycota; Pucciniomycetes; Pucciniales; Pucciniaceae. The record is from Rfam by way of RNAcentral.
CCUGUCAUCGUCUAGUGGUUAGGACACCAGGUUUUGACUUGUAGGUGUUGAUCCCUGGGCGUCCUGGUAACUUGGGUUCGACUCCCAAUGACAGGU